UGGCAACAUUUUGUCAACAGACGUUAGUAUACUCAUGUGUAAACAACUGGGGAAAAUAACCUACCUGGUUUUGUAGCUGAUGGUCAGUAGUAUCGAUUUUUCGCAGUGAACUUGCCACUUUACUCGCCUAACGCAACAGCACCAACAUGAACCAGAGGAAAAUGACUUCUGAGGACACAUUCACGACCGUGAUAACGUCGGGUUGGUUGGUCAUUGAAAUACUAUUGGCGAUGUAAAAAGAACGGGCAAUAAAUUCCACAAAAAAGUGAGCUAUCGAUAUUAAUAAGAUGAGUCCGUAUUGUCCACAUCUUCUCGAAUCCCUUCAUAAAAUAAAGAAGUCAGCCAGACAACGGAGCAAUACAGAACCAGUACACUGAUUGGUACAAUCUUGGAGAAAAAUGCAGUAACUGUGACGAACUUCCUGUACUUGGAUUCAUUUGAGAUGUUUGGAUUACUUAAUUGUGAACAAUAUUCCCUACCGUUAGGAUGGGAAAGAAUCCGAUAAGUAACGCCCUGCGUAAUUUUGUGUAAUCGAUUUUACAGUAAGCAAAAUCAAAUGUUUCCACAACAUUCCAUAAACGUAGCCAUCGGUUCUGAGCAACGUAGAAAAAAGCUGGAUAAACAAUGGCUAUAAAACAAAAAUUAUUAGCAGCAUCUAUUCUGGCAUUCCAGCUUAACGUUGUGGACGUAGAGAUAUUCAACGCCUUGUUCGUGUCGGUAAAUGGAAACGAAAUUUUCCAGAAUUUGAUUACGAUAAAAUCAACGCUCGCCCAUUGAAAAAGCUCGAUUCCAAAAAUGCGCAUCCAGAAAAAGAUGGGCUUGAAACACCAUGUUACAUUACGGUUAGGUGCUGAAACAGCCGGAUCCACUUUGUUCUUCACCAUGGCUCAAAACAAGACUAAUCUUAGCCUUGGCUUCAUGAAGACUUUUUUGUUAAGUCAUCGGUCUCGGGCCUUUGGUUUCCGAGAUAACCUGUCGUGAAAGACAUUUCUGGAUGCUAAGAAGAAGAAUCAUAAUAGAAUGAUGAGGAUAUGUUUCACUACAACCGGUUGUCAUGGAAAUUUCCUUACCUGGUCUACUCUUUUUGAUCUAGCUCCUCCCUCUCGUCCCCGCGCGUGUUGACAUUUAAAAAGGUUGAAGGGGCUUGGAAUAAUCGAAAUCGGGUUUCGGAACUGAAGCAAGAAUAUGCAAUAUAUCGUUAUUGAAAGAAAAUUAAGCUACGAUGAAACUAGAAAAGUAAUGUAUCAAGUUUUGUAUUUCAUACCUUAUCGGAUGAUUCUACACGUUCAUUUAUUUGUUC
This is a long non-coding RNA of Daphnia magna, 1300 nucleotides long. RefSeq lists it as uncharacterized. The record is from RefSeq and is a predicted model, not a curated record. The transcript is spliced from 6 exons. NCBI's taxonomy places the organism in Eukaryota, Metazoa, Arthropoda, Branchiopoda, Diplostraca, Daphniidae.